CACUUCCCUUGGAGACCUGGCCAUGCACCUGUUGGCAGCCAGGCCAGGUUCUGCUCUGCCCCUCACACUGAGCAGCCUCUUUGUGAAUAGGAGUCAUCAUGGCCCCUAGUUCUGCCUCUAGGUACAAUGUUGCAUGGAUCCAGGAAUGCUUUGGGUGAAAGGGCCCAGCAGGACUGAGGCCUGGGAGUGAGCUCUGUAACCCUCUGUCUCCCCAUCAGUAAAACGGAGAGCGAAGGGAAAGCAGCAUGAAUCAGUGAGGCUGGGGGAGGAGUCAGCAUGAGCCCCAGCCAGCCUCCUCAGCUUCAGGGCCUCCCCACUGCAGCCACGAAGAGGAGAGGGCUUGGUGAGCAUGGGCUUGGUCCUCCAGAAGGACUUGGGGAGGCAAGUUGCAGGGAUCACAAAACAACCUCCUUCAAUACCCUUUUCCCAUUGCUCAGAGGGAGAAAUUGAGGCCCAGAGAGGGCUAGUGACUUGCACAAAGUCAUAUAGCAAGAUAGUAGCUGCAAGGAUUCAAACCCAAGUCCCUUUCUUUGGAGCCAGUUAUACUCCCAAUAAGCCCUAUGGCUGCCCAAGUACCCCAGGCCACUGGCAAAAUUGAGAAGAAAGCAAAGCAAUAGGGGCAGCAGUAAUUCCUGUGUAUUGUGGAUUUAGCAGGUAUUGGGUAUUGCGCUGCAACCCCUCACGUGCACCUUGUUUAGUCCUCGCUGCAGUCCUAUAAGGUUAAGGCACAUGAUACACAUUAUCAGCAUCAUCCCCAUUUUAGAGAUGAGAAAAUUGAGGAUCAGAGAGGUUAUGUGAUUUCCUCCAGGUCAAUUCAAGAGACUUGAACCCAGACCUGCUGAUCCCAGAGCGGCAUACAAGGACCCAGCCCUCAAUCCUGGGGUCUUUCUGUGGUGUAACUCUUGGGGCGUGCCGAUGGGGGCUGCCUCGUGCUGACCACAGCAAGGCCCAGGGAAUGAGCAUUUUUCCGUCCAUCCAUCUGUCUACCUACCUAUCCAUCUGUUGACUCAACAAAUAUUUACCCAGGGCUUUCUCCAUGCCAGGCAAUAUUCAGGCAUUGGGAGGCACACAGCAGUGAACAAAGCAGGCAGUGCCUGGCUUCGUGGCCCUCAUACCCUCGUGGGGAGAGGCAGACUAUAAACAGAGAAACAACAAAGAUGUGUGUCAGGUGGUGGUGAGGGCUAUGGAGAAAAACAAAGCCAGAGGAGGGGGCAGCGCAGGAUGGCGGGGUCGGAGAAGGCUUCUCUGAGGAGGUGACAUUUGAGCGGUGAUCUGAAGGAGGUGAGGGCGUGGGCCAUGUGGGGGUCACUAGAGAAGGGUUUCUGGCAGAGGAAAUAGCGGGAGCAAAGGCCCUGAGGUGGCAGCGUGCCUGGCAUGUUGGAGGAACAGAGAACAGGUCAGUGCAGCUGGAGACAGCAAGCAAGCGGCAGGGCGUUGGGGAGGUGGAGAGGUCAGUGGGAAUGAGACCAAGGGCGGCCCUGUCAGGUUUUCUUCUGAGUGAGAUGGAAGCCAUUGGAGGUUCUGAGCAGAAGCGUGGAAUCAUCUGAUUUAGUUUUUAAGAGCAUCUUCUGGCUGCUGGAGUGAGGAUGUACUACAGGGCUCAAAGGAAGAGGGAGCGGGGGUUAGAAAGGCAACGUAGUAUGUGGGUGUCAGAUGGCAGAGGCUAGGGCCACGCAGAGUGAAGGAGGUGGAGAGGGAGGCCAAGAUCUGAAUAUAUUCUAAAGGCUAAGCCACAGGAUUAGGGUCUGAGAACCCUCUAGGAUGGCUCCAGGUUUUUGGCUUAAACCAGAAUGAAACUGUCAUUUAUGCAGGUGGGGAGGACUGCUGGAAAAGCAGUGCAGGCCCGGGCUUUGCACAUCUCAAUUCGUUUGUGCCUUAUAUUCCUCAAGCAUCAGAAUCACCGGAGACACUUGUUAAAGUCCAGAUUUCUGGGAUCCUCCACCAGAGUUUCCCAUUCAAUAGAGCUGGGUGGGGCCUGAGAAUGUGGAUUUCCAAUCAGUUUCCAGGUGAUGGCGAUGCUGCCAGUCACAGGACCUCACCUUGAGACCCACGGAUUGUUGCAGCGGGGGAAGUGGAGGCUCACAGCUGGAAGGCGACUGGUAAUAAAGUCAUAAAUUGA
Long non-coding RNA from Gorilla gorilla gorilla (western lowland gorilla), 2119 nucleotides. RefSeq lists it as uncharacterized. The record is from RefSeq and is a predicted model, not a curated record. Lineage: Eukaryota; Metazoa; Chordata; Mammalia; Primates; Hominidae. The transcript has 2 exons.